RNAcentral lists this long non-coding RNA (533 nucleotides) under Nicotiana tabacum (common tobacco). RNAcentral's name for it is "long non-coding RNA (NTAB_LNC015530)". The record is from RNAcentral. Lineage: Eukaryota; Viridiplantae; Streptophyta; Magnoliopsida; Solanales; Solanaceae.
UACGACACUAAGGAAUCACCAGAGCAACAUUUGUUUCGCUGGAUGAAUUUUUUUGGCUAAAAUUCAACGGUAGCAGUGGGCAGUAGAGGCGAACGACCGGGUAACACAGCGUUAGCUCAUUGCCAGAGUCACCGAGAAAUGACAUGGCCAAACAGAGGUGGAGUUUUUCGUCAAGAUCUGACCUUUUCCGACCACUUCUCCGGCCAAAACACUUGCACAAGAAUAUAAGAAAUAAUCUUAGAUCUGUAUCGUUUGCAAAAGAGAAAGAAAAGAAAAAAAAUGAAAAAGGAGAUGAGAUAAAGGUACAAGACAAAGGCAAUGAGGGUCAUCAAUGGUGGCGUAUCAAUUGCCGUCCAGUAGUGAAAUCUGACGGCGUUAGUGUCCACCCUACGUAGGAAAGAGAGAGAUGAGGGGGAGAAAAGUUCGUGGCUGCCGGCCAUCGUCAGAUCCGGCGGGCGGUAGAGGAGCUCGUGGGGGUGGCUAGUUCUCUCAAAUGAGAGAGAUGAGAGAUAAAAUUUAAUUAAGGUUUUGAG